AAUCCGGAUAAUCAAGGCUGAGGUGUGAUGACGAGGCACUACGGUGCUGAAGUAACAAAUGCCCUGCUUCCAGGAAAAGCCUCUAAGCAUCAGGUAACAUCAAAUCGUACCCCAAACCGACACAGGUGGUCAGGUAGAGAAUACCAAGGCGCUUGAGAGAACUCGGGUGAAGGAACUAGGCAAAAUGGUGCCGUAACUUCGGGAGAAGGCACGCUGGUGUGUAGGUGAAGCCCCUGCGGGUGGAGCU
This 247-nucleotide ribosomal RNA is filed under the name Klebsiella quasipneumoniae. RNAcentral describes it as "partial 23S ribosomal RNA". It matches the Rfam family "Bacterial large subunit ribosomal RNA", at positions 1539 to 1783 of the family's 2925-position model. Lineage: Bacteria; Pseudomonadati; Pseudomonadota; Gammaproteobacteria; Enterobacterales; Enterobacteriaceae. The record is from RNAcentral.